GUGCCAGCAGCCGCGGUAAUACGGAGGAUCCAAGCGUUAUCCGGAUUUAUUGGGUUUAAAGGGUGCGUAGGCGGCAUUUUAAGUCAGGGGUGAAAUACAGCGGCUCAACCGUUGCAGUGCCUUUGAUACUGAAGUGCUUGAAUGUGAUCGAAGGAGGCGGAACGGGACAAGCAGCGGUGAAAUGCAUAGAUAUGUCCCAGAACCCCGAUUGGGAAGGCAGCUUCCUAGAACAUAAUUGACGCUGAUGCACGAAAGCGUGGGGAUCGAACAGGAUUAGAUACCCCCGUAGUCC
Molecule: ribosomal RNA, 292 nt
Filed under: uncultured prokaryote
Description: partial 16S ribosomal RNA
Rfam family: Bacterial small subunit ribosomal RNA
Source: RNAcentral